AGCAGCCGCGGUAAUUCCAGCUCCAAUAGCGUAUAUUAAAGUUGUUGCAGUUAAAAAGCUCGUAGUUGAAUUUCGGGAUCAAUAUGUCUGUCGUGCCUUCGGUACGUACGGGUAUAAUUGGUUUCUACCUUCUGAUGAACCUUGAUGCCAUUAAUUUGGUGUCUUGGGGACUCAGGACUGUUACCUUGAAAAAAUUAGAGUGUUUAAAGCAGGCAUACGCUUGAAUACAUUAGCAUGGAAUAAUGAAAUAGGACGUUCGAUUCUAUUUUGUUGGUUUCUAGGAUCGACGUAAUGACUAAUAGGGAUAGUUGGGGGCAUUAGUAUUCAAUUGUCAGAGGUGAAAUUCUUGGAUUUAUUGAAGACUAACUACUGCGAAAGCAUUUGCCAAGGAUGUUUUCAUUAAUCAAGAACGAAAGUUAGGGGAUCGAAGACGAUCAGAUACCGUCGUAG
This 450-nucleotide ribosomal RNA is filed under the name uncultured Glomeromycotina. Its description in RNAcentral is "SSU rRNA". It matches the Rfam family "Eukaryotic small subunit ribosomal RNA", at positions 569 to 1023 of the family's 1831-position model. The record is from RNAcentral. Lineage: Eukaryota; Fungi; Glomeromycota.